This 300-nucleotide ribosomal RNA is filed under the name uncultured bacterium. RNAcentral describes it as "bacterial SSU rRNA". It matches the Rfam family "Bacterial small subunit ribosomal RNA", at positions 335 to 625 of the family's 1533-position model. The record is from RNAcentral.
ACUCCUACGGGAGGCAGCAGUAGGGAAUUUUCCGCAAUGGGACGAAAGUCUGACGGAGCAAUGCCGCGUGAGUGAUGAAGGUUUUCGAAUCGUAAAGCUCUGUUGUAAGGGAAGAAUAGCAGUAGUAGGAAACUGACUACUGUGUGACGGUACCUUACCAGAAAGCCACGGCUAACUACGUGCCAGCAGCCGCGGUAAUACGUAGGUGGCAAGCGUUAUCCGGAAUUAUUGGGCGUAAAGCGCAUGUAGGCGGCUCUUUAAGUCUGAUGUGAAAGCCUGUGGCUCAACCACAGAAUUGCA